UACGGAGGAGGCAAGCGUUAUCCGGAAUUAUUGGGCGUAAAGCGUCCGUAGGUGGUUUAUCAAGUCUGUUGUUAAAGAGUGGGGCUUAACCUCAUAAAGGCAAUGGAAACUGGUUGGCUAGAGUUAGGUAGGGGUAAGAGGAAUUCCCAGUGUAGCGGUGAAAUGCGUAGAUAUUGGGAAGAACAUCGGUGGCGAAAGCGCGCUACUGGGCCGGAACUGACACUCAGGGACGAAAGCUAGGGGAGCGAAAGGG
RNAcentral lists this ribosomal RNA (253 nucleotides) under uncultured bacterium. Its description in RNAcentral is "partial 16S ribosomal RNA". It matches the Rfam family "Bacterial small subunit ribosomal RNA", at positions 524 to 776 of the family's 1533-position model. The record is from RNAcentral.